GAGACAGCAGUAGCCGCGGUAAUACGGAGGGUGCAAGCGUUAAUCGGAAUUACUGGGCGUAAAGCACACGCAGGCGGUCUGACAAGUCAGAUGUGAAAUCCCCGGGCUUAACCUGGGAACUGCAUUUGAAACUGUCAGGCUGGAGUCUUGUAGAGGGGGGUAGAAUUCCAGGUGUAGCGGUGAAAUGCGUAGAGAUCUGGAGGAAUACCGGUGGCGAAGGCGGCCCCCUGGACAAAGACUGACGCUCAGGUGCGAAAGCGUGGGGAGCAAACAGGAUUAGAUACCCCAGUAGUCCCUGUCUCUUAUAC
This 308-nucleotide ribosomal RNA is filed under the name uncultured bacterium. RNAcentral's name for it is "partial 16S ribosomal RNA". It matches the Rfam family "Bacterial small subunit ribosomal RNA", at positions 505 to 807 of the family's 1533-position model. The record is from RNAcentral.